RNAcentral lists this unclassified non-coding RNA (226 nucleotides) under uncultured Chytridiomycota. RNAcentral describes it as "sequence contains ITS2". Lineage: Eukaryota; Fungi; Chytridiomycota. The record is from RNAcentral.
AAAACCCUCACCCAGCUCUUUGCUUUCCGGCUUAGAGUGCAGGUGGAUUUGGAUUUUUGCGUUAGCAAUCAUCUUAAAACUAUUGUGUGUGCACCAAUUGAUGCGUCUUUUGGUUGUCCAAGUGCAACAGAUUUAUCUAUUUCGCUUUGGCGGUUGAUUGAUGUUUUUGAUGCAGACAUUCAACUAAGAAUACGGAAUUCAAAUUGCAUGAUUUGAAUUUUCGAAA